Molecule: ribosomal RNA, 2697 nt
Filed under: Vibrio parahaemolyticus
Lineage: Bacteria; Pseudomonadati; Pseudomonadota; Gammaproteobacteria; Vibrionales; Vibrionaceae
Description: partial 23S ribosomal RNA
Rfam family: Bacterial large subunit ribosomal RNA
Source: RNAcentral
AACAUCUAAGUACCCCGAGGAAAAGAAAUCAACCGAGAUUCCGAAAGUAGCGGCGAGCGAAAUUGGACUAGCCCUUAAGCUUUACACGCGUUAGACGAACGGUCUGGAAAGUCCGACGAUACAGGGUGAUAGUCCCGUAGUUGACGACGUGUGUUCAGUGAAAUCGAGUAGGGCGGGACACGUGAUAUCCUGUCUGAAUAUGGGGGGACCAUCCUCCAAGGCUAAAUACUACUGACUGACCGAUAGUGAACCAGUACCGUGAGGGAAAGGCGAAAAGAACCCCUGUGAGGGGAGUGAAAUAGAACCUGAAACCGUGUACGUACAAGCAGUAGGAGCAGGCUUGUCCUGUGACUGCGUACCUUUUGUAUAAUGGGUCAGCGACUUAUAUUCAGUGGCAAGGUUAACCAUCUAGGGGAGCCGUAGGGAAACCGAGUCUUAACUGGGCGUUCAGUCUCUGGAUAUAGACCCGAAACCAGGUGAUCUAGCCAUGGGCAGGUUGAAGGUUGAGUAACAUCAACUGGAGGACCGAACCGACUAAUGUUGAAAAAUUAGCGGAUGACUUGUGGCUAGGGGUGAAAGGCCAAUCAAACCUGGAGAUAGCUGGUUCUCCCCGAAAGCUAUUUAGGUAGCGCCUCGGACGAAUACUACUGGGGGUAGAGCACUGUUAAGGCUAGGGGGUCAUCCCGACUUACCAACCCUUUGCAAACUCCGAAUACCAGUAAGUACUAUCCGGGAGACACACGGCGGGUGCUAACGUCCGUCGUGGAGAGGGAAACAACCCAGACCGCCAGCUAAGGUCCCAAAUUACUACUAAGUGGGAAACGAUGUGGGAAGGCUCAGACAGCCAGGAUGUUGGCUUAGAAGCAGCCAUCAUUUAAAGAAAGCGUAAUAGCUCACUGGUCGAGUCGGCCUGCGCGGAAGAUGUAACGGGGCUAAGUAGUAAACCGAAGCUGCGGCAAUGUGCUUUUGCACAUUGGGUAGGGGAGCGUUCUGUAAGCGGUUGAAGGUGUGUGGUAACGCAUGCUGGACGUAUCAGAAGUGCGAAUGCUGACAUGAGUAACGAUAAAGGGGGUGAAAAACCUCCUCGCCGGAAGACCAAGGGUUCCUGUCCAACGUUAAUCGGGGCAGGGUAAGUCGACCCCUAAGGCGAGGCCGAAAGGCGUAGUCGAUGGGAAACGGGUUAAUAUUCCCGUACUUCUUACAAUUGCGAUGGGGGGACGGAGAAGGCUAGGUGGGCCUGGCGACGGUUGUCCAGGUUCAAGUGCGUAGGCUUAAGAGUUAGGUAAAUCCGGCUCUUUUUAAGGCUGAGACACGACGUCGAGCACCUACGGGUGUGAAGUCAUUGAUGCCAUGCUUCCAGGAAAAGCCUCUAAGCUUCAGAUUGUAAGGAAUCGUACCCCAAACCGACACAGGUGGUCGGGUAGAGAAUACCAAGGCGCUUGAGAGAACUCGGGUGAAGGAACUAGGCAAAAUGGUACCGUAACUUCGGGAGAAGGUACGCUCUUGAUGGUGAAGUCCCUCGCGGAUGGAGCUGACGAGAGUCGCAGAUACCAGGUGGCUGCAACUGUUUAUUAAAAACACAGCACUGUGCAAAAUCGUAAGAUGACGUAUACGGUGUGACGCCUGCCCGGUGCCGGAAGGUUAAUUGAUGGGGUUAGACUUCGGUCGAAGCUCUUGAUCGAAGCCCCGGUAAACGGCGGCCGUAACUAUAACGGUCCUAAGGUAGCGAAAUUCCUUGUCGGGUAAGUUCCGACCUGCACGAAUGGCGUAAUGAUGGCCACGCUGUCUCCACCCGAGACUCAGUGAAAUUGAAAUCGCUGUGAAGAUGCAGUGUACCCGCGGCUAGACGGAAAGACCCCGUGAACCUUUACUACAGCUUGGCACUGAACAUUGACCCUACAUGUGUAGGAUAGGUGGGAGGCUUUGAAGCACGUACGCCAGUAUGUGUGGAGCCGUCCUUGAAAUACCACCCUUGUAGUGUUGAUGUUCUAACGUCGACCCCUAAUCGGGGUUGCGGACAGUGCCUGGUGGGUAGUUUGACUGGGGCGGUCUCCUCCCAAAGAGUAACGGAGGAGCACGAAGGUGGGCUAAUCACGGUUGGACAUCGUGAGGUUAGUGCAAUGGCAUAAGCCCGCUUGACUGCGAGAAUGACAAUUCGAGCAGGUGCGAAAGCAGGUCAUAGUGAUCCGGUGGUUCUGAAUGGAAGGGCCAUCGCUCAACGGAUAAAAGGUACUCCGGGGAUAACAGGCUGAUACCGCCCAAGAGUUCAUAUCGACGGCGGUGUUUGGCACCUCGAUGUCGGCUCAUCACAUCCUGGGGCUGAAGUCGGUCCCAAGGGUAUGGCUGUUCGCCAUUUAAAGUGGUACGCGAGCUGGGUUUAGAACGUCGUGAGACAGUUCGGUCCCUAUCUGCCGUGGGCGUUGGAAGAUUGAAGGGGGCUGCUCCUAGUACGAGAGGACCGGAGUGGACGAACCUCUGGUGUUCGGGUUGUGUCGCCAGACGCAUUGCCCGGUAGCUAAGUUCGGAAUCGAUAACCGCUGAAAGCAUCUAAGCGGGAAGCGAGCCCUGAGAUGAGUCUUCCCUGAUACUUUAAGUAUCCUAAAGGGUUGUCGGAGACUACGACGUUGAUAGGUCAGGUGUGUAAGUGCUGUGAGGCAUUGAGCUAACUGAUACUAAUUGCCCGUGAGGCUUAACCAU